RNAcentral lists this ribosomal RNA (426 nucleotides) under uncultured bacterium. RNAcentral's name for it is "partial 16S ribosomal RNA". It matches the Rfam family "Bacterial small subunit ribosomal RNA", at positions 354 to 796 of the family's 1533-position model. The record is from RNAcentral.
GUGGGGAAUAUUGCGCAAUGGGGGAAACCCUGACGCAGCGACACCAUGUGAAGGAUGAAGGCUCUAGGGUUGUAAACUUCUGUCUAGAGGGAAGAAUUUUGACGGUACCUCUAAAGAAAGCACCGGCUAACUCCGUGCCAGCAGCCGCGGUAAUACGGAGGGUGCAAGCGUUAUUCGGAAUUACUAGGUGUAAAGGGCGUGUAGGCGGUUUAGUAAGUUAGAUGUGAAAUCUCAUGGCUCAACUGUGAGUCUGCAUCUAAAACUGUUAGACUUGAGUAUGGAAAGGGAAAACGGAAUUUCUAGUGUAGCGGUGGAAUGUGUAGAUACUAGAAGGAACAUCUAUGGCGAAAGCGGUUUUCUUGUCCAAUACUGACGCUAAGGCGCGAAAGCUAGGGGAGCAAACAGGAUUAGAAACCCGAGUAGUCC